Molecule: unclassified non-coding RNA, 408 nt
Filed under: uncultured fungus
Lineage: Eukaryota; Fungi
Description: partial contains 5.8S ribosomal RNA and internal transcribed spacer 2
Rfam family: 5.8S ribosomal RNA (bases 1-133)
Source: RNAcentral
UGGCUCUCGCAUCGAUGAAGAACGCAGCGAAAUGCGAUAAGUAAUGUGAAUUGCAGAAUUCAGUGAAUCAUCGAAUCUUUGAACGCACCUUGCGCUCCUUGGUAUUCCUUGGAGCAUGCCUGUUUGAGUAUCAUGAAAUUCUCAAAGUAAAUCUUUUGUUGAUCCAUUUGGUUUGCUUUGGUCUUGGAGGUUCUAUUGCAGAGGGGUUUCACUCCUUUGCUCCUCUUUGUGUAUUAGCUGGAUCUCAGUGUUAUGCUUGGUUUCACUCGGCGUGAUAAGUUAUCACUCGUUGAGUACACUGUAACAGGUGGCCAAGGUAAACGCAGAUGAACCGCUUCUUAAUGGUCCAUUCACUUGGACAAAUAUCUUUUAUGAUCUGAUCUCAAAUCAGGUAGGACUACCCGCUGA